This 252-nucleotide ribosomal RNA is filed under the name uncultured bacterium. Its description in RNAcentral is "partial 16S ribosomal RNA". It matches the Rfam family "Bacterial small subunit ribosomal RNA", at positions 524 to 776 of the family's 1533-position model. The record is from RNAcentral.
UACGAGGGGGCAAGCGUUGUUCGGAAUUAUUGGGCGUAAAGGGCGCGUAGGCGGCGGGGUAAGUCGGGUGUGAAAUCUCAGAGCUCAACUCUGAAACUGCACUCGAUACUGCUCUGCUUGAGGACUGGAGAGGAGACUGGAAUUCACGGUGUAGCAGUGAAAUGCGUAGAUAUCGUGAGGAAGACCAGUGGCGAAGGCGGGUCUCUGGACAGUUCCUGACGCUGAGGCGCGAAGGCCAGGGGAGCAAACGGG